AGAAUAAAAAAUAAUAAUAGCUUUAAUAAGAUAUUUUUAAAAGUUGAGUGCUCUCAUCUCCUCCGUCUUACCAAAACCCCACAAACCAGAGUCCCCUUUAAUGGCCGUAGCCUGCGUCCAUGGCAGACCCGCCUGCCACACCUGCAAUUAUCUCCCCAAAUCAGCCCCUCCAACCCACAAAUCCUCUGAAGACUGAAAAAUCAGUCCUAAAUCUGUAUAACAACGGAAAAAGAGUCCCGAAUCGCCAGUAAUGGCUUCAAAAGAUGAAGAUUUGUUCAGAAUCUUUAAGAAAUUCAAAUCGUUUUCUUAACAUUUUGUUCAAAUCCAGACUUUGGAGUCCGGAUUUCAGGCUAUAAAUAGCCGAAUUUCACUUCCUACGGUAGGGCAGCGAAAAAACAAGGGAAAGAUUAGGAGAAAAAGCAAAAUCUUGCGAGAAGUAAAAAUUAGCAAAAAAAAAAAAAAAAGGAGAGAAGAAGCAAAUCCAAAAAAAAAAAACAGUGAGUGAAAGCUUCAAAUCCAUGAGAAAAACAGGAGUGAAAAAGAAGGAGAAAGGGGUCUCAAAUUUCUUAGUCUUCUGUCUGACUUUGUCUAAAUUUAAAGUUCCGAAGUUUGGGUUACUCUUUGGAAUCUCAACGUCGAAGCCUCAGGUUUGCUGCAACCUAAAAGGUGCGGGCCCACCCCUCUCUGGUUCUUGGUUUCGUUUCUUUUCUUCUCAUCUAUUUUUAGCUUUGUCGAAUAUAAGAGUCAUUUUGAUUUCGGAGCUAUGUUGUUACUGCUGCCCUGGCCUUGCAAAUAAGAGUUGUGGUUUGUGAAUCUGAGGAUUGUUUGGUGCUGAAUACAUGAGUUUAUGCAUGUGUUUAUCUCGUUCUUCGAAAAUUUCGAUGAGCAUGAUUUGGAUAUUAAAAGUUCAGUUUGUAUGUGAACGAGUUUGCGAGUAUAUGAAUAAGGCGUUUUCGUUCAAUCGGAUUUAAAGGUUCUUUGUCAAUUUUGAGAGAAAAAAUGAUUUCGAACAUGAAUUCUGAUCAAUUUUUUUUUUAUUGGGUCUAUAGUGAGUUUACACGUGAUUCUUUGAACCUGGGAAUGGAUUUGUAAGUAAAUGGAAAAACCAGUCCUUUAUUUCGUAUUACCUUUCAUUCGUCUUAAUUUGAUGGGUAAAUAAUGUGAUUGGUCCCGAACGUUGAAGUUUUGUUAAUAUGAAGAUAUUCCAUGUGCAAAUAUGGAAGUACGUAAGGCAUGAGAUAUAUGACUUUUCCAUGAAUUUAAGUUUGUCUCGAUUUCGGAUCCAUGGUUGAACAUGAAUUUGAUUCUAAAAAAAAAUAUAUUUUUGUCCACAAGUUUGUCAACAUAAAUCUGAUUUUUGACGUAAACAGGUAGAAAUAUUGUGGUUUGCUCUCUUAGAAUCAAGCUAAAAAUAUGAUCUCUUAUCGAUUUAUUUCAAUUGUUGACUGUUUGCACAAUUCAAUAAUUCGUUCUUAUCCUUGGUCCCAUUCUAUUUGUGGAUAUUGUGAUUUAGAGUAUUAAGUCAAUGUUGAGAUUGCAUUUUUGCCUAUGCGCCUAAAAGGUCAUAUGCCUAUUUUAUUCAUUGAAAAUUAAUAGCUCAUUUUACUGAUCAGUUAGCUCUUAUUUUUUCAGCAUGUAAACAUAAAUGUUUUCUACACUAGGAUCAAUAGGAUAGUGGGUGAACUUGAAUCAAAUAAGCUUCAUUUUUCUUUAGUGACUAAUCCCCAAUCAUUUGAAUUGUUGUUUGUUAAUUAGUUAUCAGCAUGUGAUAGCAAGAAAAGAAAUAUCCCAACUUGCACGAUAUAUGUAUUGUUAAUUAGUUAUCGGCAUGUGAUAGCAAGAAAAGAAAUAUCCCAACUUGCACGAUAUAUGUAGUGUUUUUGCUUCAACACAUGAAGGCUUGCUUUGCAAUGCCUUCGGUUCCUCUCAUUUAUAGAAUGAAUUUUUUACAAAAGUCUUUACAUUACUUACACAUUUUUUAAAAAUCCUAAAAAGUCUAUCCUAAAAAGUCUCCUUAUGAGACAAGAAUUAGUGUCAUAGGCUAAAAGGCUAAAAAGGCUACAAGAAUUAGUGCUAUAGCCUUAAAAAAGUUAAAAAGGCUAAAAAAAGGCUAAAAUCUAUGCAACAAUUCUAUACAACAAUUUUACGUAAAAAUUUAAUAUCUUGUCUUCUAUUAUUACUCCGUUGAUAUCUUCUCAUUAUCGUAUCUGCUGUUUUUCCAUAUCUCCAUUAUUGCUUCUUAUCUUAUCUUCCAGCUGGCAUGCUUAUUUUCUUGAUUCUUUUAUUCUAGGUGGACUUCUGGGAUAAUAUUAUCUUCUCCAUUACAUCUUGAACAUUGAUGGUCUAGAUAUUUAUGUCCAAUUAUCUUACAAUAUCUUGUCAAUAAUCCGUCUGAAAUAAAUCCUUUCUUAAUUGCUCUUGCAGUAGAUUGUUUUUUUGGGUUAAGUAAUGUCAUUAUCUAUUGCCUAACAUCUUCCAUAUCUGCUUGUCGUAGUUCUUUUGAAUUUGAAUAAAUCAUCUGAUGGUCUCUUGAAUAAUAGCUCCAUAUUGGGUUUCCAUUGGUAUAAUUAUUUGCUAAUUCUUGAAUAAUUGUAGCUAGUCCAAUGAGUCGUUUAUUUGCGUAGAAAUCUCUGGCUGUUGCGUAAUAGCUUCCGGUAUGAUCAUAUCUCUGGUUAGUUCUUAUUUUAUAACUUGUAUAACUGAUUUUAUUUCGGCGUAUAAUAUCUCUACUGGUGCAAUAUAACACUUUAUAUAAAAUAGAUUUCCUUUUGUUAUCCUUUUAUAGGUGGUGAAUAUUUUAUGUAAUUCUUCCAUAGCUGUUAGCUCUUCUCCGUCUUGGGUGUAUAUGGUAUUUAAUAAUCCAUAGUUAAAACAAGUUUUCACUAGGCUUGGGUUGGUUUUGGGUAGUGCAAUUAGCUUGUUGUAACCUUGUAAUUUUUGGGUUAUAUAAUUUGUGUUUGGUUCUUUGAUAUUUGUAGCUCUGGGGUUAAGGUUUAGGAAAGUUUGUAAGGUUUAGGAAAGUUUGUACUCUAUAGAUAUUUUUUAUAUAUUUUUGGGUUGUAUAGUUGUAAACUUUUUUAUCUUGGUUCAGACUAUCUCGGUAUGUGGUAAUUUGUGGGGCUAUGAACAAGGGGUCUUUUUGUGUUUUUGGUAUAAAUGGUUUCUCAAAUAUCUUAUUCAUAUUCAUGUUCUGAUAUCUUUGUCUACUAACUCCUUUGCUUGUACCAGCAGAAGUAGAUUGAUAAACGUUAUGGGUUUUAUGGAGUGUCCCGUCGUCUCCUUCUAGCUCUGGAACUUUAAUGUCUUUCGAUCGACAUAGCUCUGCACAUUGCUGAGUUAGCUGAUUUGUAGCUAU
Molecule: long non-coding RNA, 3355 nt
Filed under: Capsicum annuum
Lineage: Eukaryota; Viridiplantae; Streptophyta; Magnoliopsida; Solanales; Solanaceae
Description: long non-coding RNA (CANN_LNC016457)
Source: RNAcentral